RNAcentral lists this long non-coding RNA (1120 nucleotides) under Ursus maritimus (polar bear). Its description in RNAcentral is "lncRNA (ENSUMAG00000015970.1)". The record is from RNAcentral. Lineage: Eukaryota; Metazoa; Chordata; Mammalia; Carnivora; Ursidae.
CUCUCCAACCUCAGCGAUAGUAAUAAUAAGAUUAUGGUGAUGAUGAUGAUGAUGAUGGUGAUGGUGAUGGUGGUAAUGAUUGUGAUGGUGGUGAUGAUGAUGGUGAUAAUGAUGGUGAUGAUGAUGAUGAUGAUGGUGAUGGUGGUGAUGAUGAUGGUGAUAAUGAUGGUGAUGAUGAUGAUGAUGAUGGUGAUGGUGGUGAUGAUGAUGGUGAUAAUGAUGGUGAUGAUGAUGAUGAUGAUGGUGAUGGUGGUGAUGAUGAUGGUGAUAAUGAUGGUGAUGAUGAUGAUGAUGAUGGUGAUGGUGGUGAUGAUGAUGGUGAUAAUGAUGGUGAUGAUGAUGAUGAUGAUGGUGAUGGUGGUGAUGAUGAUGGUGAUAAUGAUGGUGAUGAUGAUGAUGAUGAUGGUGAUGGUGGUGAUGAUGAUGGUGAUGAUGAUGAUGGUGAUGGUGGUGAUGAUGAUGGUGAUGAUGAUGAUGGUGAUGGUGGUGAUGUUGAUGGUGAUGAUGAUGGUGAUGGUGAUGAUGAUGAUGAUGGUGAUGAUGAUGGUGAUGGUGAUGAUGAUGAUGAUGGUGAUGAUGAUGGUGAUGGUGAUGAUGAUGAUGAUGGUGAUGAUGAUGGUGAUGGUGAUGAUGAUGAUGAUGGUGAUGAUGAUGGUGAUGGUGGUGAUGAUGAUGAUGGUGAUGGUGGUGAUGAUGAUGGUGAUGAUGAUUGUCAACACUUACAUAGCACCUAUCAAGCUCCAGGCAUCAACUCACUUCGUCUUUUCAACAGCUACAAGGAUGGGGUCUCCAGCAUCCCUAGCUUACCCCCAGCUUCAAUCCUUGUACAGCCCACAUUCUUUCUCCUCUGGCCCUGAGACACACUCUUCCCCCAGCUCUGAACCCAUCUCCACUUCCUCUUUGCCAGACUAAGGCCAUCCCUCCCUCAGUUCCCCGUAAGGCCAUCCCUGCGCAUCUGUCUAUCCCUACUGGAGCCCCAGGACCAGCUACAUACUCUGCAGGGCUCAGGAUGAAAUGAAAACUAGGGGCCUUAUUCAAAAGUCAUGAAGAAUUUCAGAACAGUGACAGCAGAACAUUAAACCAAGUUCAGGGCCCUUCUGAGCUCGGGGUCUUGUGUGGC